This 253-nucleotide ribosomal RNA is filed under the name uncultured bacterium. RNAcentral describes it as "partial 16S ribosomal RNA". It matches the Rfam family "Bacterial small subunit ribosomal RNA", at positions 524 to 776 of the family's 1533-position model. The record is from RNAcentral.
UACAGAGGUCCCAAGCGUUGUUCGGAUUCACUGGGCGUAAAGGGUGCGUAGGUGGUGAGGUAAGUCGGAUGUGAAAUCUCCGGGCUCAACCCGGAAACUGCAUUGGAAACUGCCUUGCUAGAGGAUUUGAGGGGGGAGUGGAAUACUUGGUGUAGCAGUGAAAUGCGUAGAUAUCAAGUGGAACACCAGUGGCGAAGGCGAAUCCCUGGAAAAUACCUGACACUGAGGCACGAAAGCUAGGGGAGCAAACAGG